GUUGAUUGCCAGAAGUGACAAAAACCCGCAUUUUCUUGUGCUUAUUUCUUAUUUGCAAAGCUUUUAAUUAUUGUUAAAUAAUCAUCAGUUAAAGAAUCUAAUUUCAUAUCUAAACCUAUUUUCAGGAUGAUAACUGGAGACGCAAAAGUGAGGAAAAGCCUCGAAAUAAAUAUAAUUUUUGUGUUAAGAAAUUGGACUUUGAACAUCAUGAAUUUAGUACCAAUAGGAUGAGUCUUAUCGACGAAACUACACUUUUAAUUUUUUAUUUAUUUAUAAUUAAAUAAAUGUAUGUAGGUACAUGUAAAUGGUUAAAAUAGGUAGGUUUUAAAAUGCUCUUAUCGAAUCCGUCCUAAAUUAGAAAUAAGUAGGUAUGACUUCAUAGGUAAUUUUAAAAUUUUAAUGUAAGUAUCAAUUAGAAUUAAUUAACUUAAAUGCAUAUUGCCUACACACAGAUAGAUACAUUAACGAUUUUAUGAAAGUCCCAAUGAUUUAGUUACUUUUACGAGCACUUUUAUAAAAAAAAAUAUUAAUCUGAAUUCAGCACUAAAUUAUCGGUUUUGCUUUACAGGAAGCCAUAAGCGGUAGUAAUAUAAUAGGGGUAGCUUAUUAUGUCACAUUAAGAAGCUUACAGAUUUAAAGACCGUAAAAUUUAUUCCCUGCUCUCAUUACCUAUAACUCUUAAAGACAUAAUUAGUAAUUAAACUAGCGCUUGGAUCGAGACUUGAUAGCAGUGUGCAAGAUAUGAUUUUCAAUGAAGCGUAAAACUUUAACGAAAUACUAAGUAAUAAGAAUAAGUAAAAUAGUGAUCUGUUUUUCCUGUAACUAUAUGCUAUACUAUAAUUAGAAAUUAUUAUUGUAGUAGUUAAAAUUAGGAUGCAAUGUGAUACGUUUUAGGAAACUUUCGUUAUGUACUUUGUAGGCGGAAUUUUUUUCCAGAAAUGGUUGUAAAUUAAAUUAGCUGUAAGACAAUUAAUGUAGUAACAAAAAAAUUGUCUUUCCACCUUUUUCAUCUCUAAUGUUAUAAUUUUUAAUUUUUGCAUUAAGGCAAUCCCUAUGCAGCGUCAGAUUCUAAAAUUAUGUACAAUAGGCACACUUUGAGACAUUCCUUUUUGUGAUACUGUGUGUCCCAAUGAGUUGGUAAAGUCCACUGCUGACCUUUAGAUCUUAAAAAACACAGUGCUGUUCAAAAAUUUGUGACAUUAACACUAAUUAAUUGUUGGUAAUUGUUAUUACACCAUGAUAGUGAUAAUCAUCCACCACGAAUCACUUAUUACGUCUGAAGUUUAUUCAAUGAUUGUACAAACCAUCAGAAAUAUUUAAAUUACAAAUGUUUUAUUGUGGAAAUUAUGAAUAAUGGAUUAAGCGUAGCACUGUCCAGUGUCCAGCUAGAAGAUUAGGUACAUUUUUUGUUUACUGAAGCAAGAACGAGAAAGAAGUUUUUUUUUCAUUAUUUCAAAUUAAAAAUAACUCGCUUGUUUACAAUAACAAAUCUGUAGUUAUGUUUUUAAAAGGAUCACAGUUCAAUAAUCGUUCAAAUGUAAAAAAGUAGAUUUUACGAUUUUGGCUCAGUUUUGGUAUUUUGUUUUUUUAUAGUUGUGAGUGACCUUAAUAGAUGUCAAUUUAUAAAAAAUAAAUUUAUAAAAAUAAUUUAUAAUAAAAUAAAAAAACACCCAGGACUUCGUGGAAGCUCCGUAACUUUUUUUCUAUGCAAGAUAUUGACUUCAUUUUUUAGAUACGUCUGACAAUAGGCACCUUCUAAAAAUAUUUCAGUUUGUAUACAGAUUGUUCUAAAAUAAAGUACACAACUAAGUUUUGUUUUCUAACGAAAAUUCCAAAUUUUUGUAACAUUUUUGAAAUCGCGACUUGAUUGUCGAUAAACGAACCCAGGUUUCUUAGACCUGUCUCUCAUAGAGUUUGACAUAUGACAAUAAAUACCGUCGUUCAUAGAAAAAAUGUAUAAUAGACAGACAGAAAAAUGUAUAAUAACUUCAGAACCAUUCAAAACAUCAUAACCAACUUUUUUCAAUCAAUUUCUUAAGCUUUAGUACAUCUUUGAUAAUAGUUGCAAAAUUGGAGUCGAUAUCUCCUGGCCUACUACGAUUAACUAACAAAUUACAAAUGGCAAUAACGAGAUUUUUUCAAAUGCAGUACCACAUUUUAAAAUAAAGUUUGUGGGGUUUAAAAUUUGUAAAAUUAUUGUAAAAUAAAAAAAGUGAUGUUUUUUUCGGAAAAAAAAUCAAGUAGGCCAUUGUCCCAAGAUUUAUCAUUUCUAUACAAUUCAGAAAACAUUCUGUUCAACAAAUUGUAAAUUGUAAUAGAAACAGGGGUAUAUAACAAAGGAAAAAAAUAGUAGUCUUUACUACUACUAGUACUACUACUACUACUAGUUUGAUAGUUUUACAUAGUUCCCUGUCAAUCAUACUUCCCUGUUAUUAUAAAGGCUUUUAAAAUUCUUUCCUUUGUGGUGUACUUCUGUUUCUAUACCUACAAUUCACAAUUUAUUGAAAGAUAUUGUUUUUAGAAUGGUAUGGAGGUGUUCACAAAUUUUACAAGUAGACCCCACAGCCCCAUCGAUAAAAAGAUCAUAAAAACCUCAUGUAAUUAAUGAUGUUUUAAAAUAUAAAAUUAAAAAAAAUCGAGUGAUAGCCAUUUGUAGUUUGUCAAUUUCAGAAAAUCGUAGUAGGCGAUGGAAUAUCGACUCCAAGUUCGCAUUUAUUGUAAAAGAUGCACUAAAUCGAUUGGAAAAAAGUUGGUUAAGAUAUCUUGAAUACAUGACGCUAUUUUGCCGAAUCAAUUGACAUAAAUGAAAAAAUAUGCCAGAUAAGUCUAAGAACUCAGGGUGCGUUACACCGACAAUUUAGUCGAGAUUUGAAAUAUGUAACAAAAAUUCGGGGUUUUCAUAAAAAAAAAAUAGAACUUAGUUGGAUAUAUUUUAUUUUGGAUCACUCUGUAUACAAAUCCAAAUAUUCCAUGUGCUUUAUUAUCAGACCUAUGGAUCAGCCUGUAUUUAAUAGUUGAUCCAUUUUGAUAAAAAAAUUAAAGAAUCCAAAAAAAAAACGAUAUGUAAUUUGAAGAAUCUGUUGCAACAAUUAGUUCGGAUUACAGAAAAAAAGAUGUUAUCACACGUCUGGAGAAAAAAAAUUCUGGAUCUGAUCAUUUAAUCGAUGCUUAUCCUAGUUUUGUUUCAACGCCAAAAAGAUCCAAGAUUUUGUGUAAUUUUUCUGGAUGUUACUAACUCGCUAGCACACGCUGUAAAUAUGCAUGCACAACUAACAAAUAAAUCACUUAUGGGGGCUUUUUUCCGAA
This is a long non-coding RNA of Tribolium castaneum (red flour beetle), 3306 nucleotides long. RefSeq lists it as uncharacterized. Lineage: Eukaryota; Metazoa; Arthropoda; Insecta; Coleoptera; Tenebrionidae. The transcript is spliced from 2 exons. The record is from RefSeq and is a predicted model, not a curated record.